Molecule: ribosomal RNA, 494 nt
Filed under: uncultured bacterium
Lineage: Bacteria
Description: partial 16S ribosomal RNA
Rfam family: Bacterial small subunit ribosomal RNA
Source: RNAcentral
GACGAACGCUGGCGGCGCGCUUAACACAUGCAAGUCGAACGGAAAGGCCUGCUUUCCCUUGUGGAUUGCGGGUACUCGAGUGGCGAACGGGUGAGUAACACGUGAGUGAUCUGCCCCCAACUUGGGUAUAAGCCUGGGAAACUGGGUCUAAUUCCCGGUAGGACUGCAGGGUGGUGCCUGUGGUGGAAAACGAUUUUCUAGUGGUUGGGGAUGAGCUCGCGGCCUAUCAGCUUGUUGGUGGGGUAAUGGCCUACCAAGGCGGCGACGGGUAGCCGGCCUGAGAGGGUGGACGGCCACAUUGGGACUGAGAUACGGCCCAGACUCCUACGGGAGGCAGCAGUGGGGAAUAUUGCACAAUGGGCGGAAGCCUGAUGCAGCGACGCCGCGUGGGGGAUGACGGCCUUCGGGUUGUAAACUCCUUUCGACCGCGAGGAAGCCACCUGGUUGGAAGGGUGGUGACGGUAGUGGUAGAAGAAGCACCGGCUAACUACGUG